Molecule: transfer RNA, 67 nt
Filed under: Pelecinus polyturator
Lineage: Eukaryota; Metazoa; Arthropoda; Insecta; Hymenoptera; Pelecinidae
Description: tRNA-Cys
Source: RNAcentral
AAUUUUAUAGUUUAUUUUAAAACCUUAAAUUGCAAGUUUAAAGAAAUUUAUGAUAUAGAUUAAAAUU